Molecule: long non-coding RNA, 509 nt
Organism: Planococcus citri (citrus mealybug)
Lineage: Eukaryota; Metazoa; Arthropoda; Insecta; Hemiptera; Pseudococcidae
Exons: 2
Source: RefSeq, a predicted model, not a curated record
UUGACGUAGAAUUAAACUCUGCGUAAAUCGAAAGUUCUCAGUUAUAUUACCAUUCAUAAUACGUAGACGUACGUAUUCUAGUACACAAGAGAUUUGAAAGCUUCAAAUACUCCAAAGCUAGUCGUAAAAUAAUUUCAUAAUUUUUUUAUUACCUUUUCAACAGACAAGAUAGCAAGAAAUUCGAAAACAUAACGAUGUUGAUUUGUUUCCGCGUGUACUAAACGUUGUUUCUUUUUAAACAUCGCAAUUACCGAGAAAACAACAAUACUUCAAAAAAAAAAUUAGACAUUUCCGCGAAAUAUCACAAACCUAGCUGCUGGGAUCAAAUCUGAAGUUUCAAAUUACGAUGACUAUACUCAGCUCAUUUCUUAUUUAUUUACUCACUUGAUGGCAGCCGCAUAUCCUUGAAUUACUUCUCCGGCACUGGGCCCAACAAAAUGCAUACCAAGAAUGAUACGUGGUAAUUCCCGCAUACAAAUAACUUUCAUGUAACAAUUAGUCACUGGUUU